AGAGUUUGAUCCUGGCUCAGGAUGAGCGCUAGCGGCAGGCUUAAUACAUGCAAGUCGAGGGGCAGCACGGGUAGCAAUACCUGGUGGCGACCGGCAAACGGGUGCGGAACACGUACAGAACUUUCCUCUGAGUGUGGGAUAGCCCGGAGAAAUCCGGAUUAAUACCACAUAGUAUUAUAGGGUGGCAUCACUUAGUAAUUAAAGAUUUAUCGCUUAGAGAUGGCUGUGCGGCUGAUUAGGUAGUUGGUGUAGGUAACGGCUCACCAAGCCAACGAUCAGUAACUGGUGUGAGAGCACGACCAGUCACACGGGCACUGAGACACGGGCCCGACUCCUACGGGAGGCAGCAGUAAGGAAUAUUGGUCAAUGGAGGCAACUCUGAACCAGCCAUGCCGCGUGAAGGAUGAAGGCCCUCUGGGUUGUAAACUUCUUUUAUCUGGGACGAAACACUCUUAUUCUUAAGAGCUUGACGGUACCAGAGGAAUAAGCACCAGCUAACUCCGUGCCAGCAGCCGCGGUAAUACGGAGGGUGCAAGCGUUAUCCGGAUUCACUGGGUUUAAAGGGUGCGUAGGUGGGUCUGUAAGUCAGUGGUGAAAUCUCCGUGCUUAACAUGGAAACUGCCAUUGAUACUAUAGGUCUUGAAUUUUCUGGAGGAUAGCGGAAUAUGUCAUGUAGCGGUGAAAUGCUUAGAUAUGACAUAGAACACCAAUUGCGAAGGCAGCUAUCUACAGGGAUAU
This 738-nucleotide ribosomal RNA is filed under the name uncultured bacterium. Its description in RNAcentral is "bacterial SSU rRNA". It matches the Rfam family "Bacterial small subunit ribosomal RNA", at positions 8 to 740 of the family's 1533-position model. The record is from RNAcentral.